This 130-nucleotide ribosomal RNA is filed under the name uncultured bacterium. Its description in RNAcentral is "partial 16S ribosomal RNA". It matches the Rfam family "Bacterial small subunit ribosomal RNA", at positions 356 to 504 of the family's 1533-position model. The record is from RNAcentral.
GGGGAAUAUUGCACAAUGGGGGAAACCCUGAUGCAGCGACGCCGCGUGAGUGAAGAAGUAUUUCGGUAUGUAAAGCUCUAUCAGCAGGGAAGAAAUGACGGUACCUGACUAAGAAGCCCCGGCUAACUAC